AUGCAUUACUCUUGCCAAUUAACUCUGGAAUAGAAUUACAGCUUGAUGAAGUCAGGGUUGUUAAUCAUCAAGACUGCCCUGAACACCUGGUCAUGCCACCUGCAGAAGGCAAGACACCCAUCAUAAAAGACCACAAGGAUUUAAUAUGCGUUAAGAAGGUCUGACUCCUAUCAGGUUGUCAUGCUCAUAGGCUCUGAAUGAAAACCAUUUUACUUAAACCAUAGUUACAAAGUUUGAAACUGAAAAAAGAAGAGGUCUAUUAUGUGGUCAAGAUAAUGACUCGAGCUGAAGGUGACUCCUGAGGCCAGCUUUCUUCCUUGAGCUGACCUUCUUCUUGAAGCCGACUUCCCUCUUUUGCCUUCAACUUGACCUGGAAGGAGCUCCAGCUUGGGACCUUGGACUGCUCUUCAGUUUUCCCUUAGAACUACCACAUGGAUCUUCAAGAAAGAAGCUUGAAACUCCCAAAUCCAGAGAAUGAAUUGUUGCAGAAAGAUGCCAGAAAACUUACAUUUCAUCAAGAAGAUCAAGAAUGAACUUUGGGUGGAAGCUUUAUGCUACCGGCAUAAGCAUGCAUAGCAUAUGGACCAGAUUGGUCUUAAGGAAAGAGCCC
RNAcentral lists this long non-coding RNA (610 nucleotides) under Monodelphis domestica (gray short-tailed opossum). Its description in RNAcentral is "lncRNA (ENSMODG00000042764.1)". The record is from RNAcentral. Lineage: Eukaryota; Metazoa; Chordata; Mammalia; Didelphimorphia; Didelphidae.